This is a non-coding RNA of Sorex fumeus (smoky shrew), 372 nucleotides long. The record is from the annotation of a RefSeq genome assembly. NCBI's taxonomy places the organism in Eukaryota, Metazoa, Chordata, Mammalia, Eulipotyphla, Soricidae.
GACAUGACGGCCCCUGUGCAGCUCCUCAGCUUCCUGCUGCUCUGGCUCCCAGGCACCAUGUGUGAUAUCCAGAUGAGCCAGCCUUCAUCCAUGCCUGCAUCUCUGGGAAAGAAAGUCACCAUCACCUGCAAGGCCAGUCAGAGCAUUAGCAAUUAUUUACACUGGUAUCAGCAGAAACCAGGGAAAGCUCCCAGGCUCCUGAUCUAUGGUGCAACAAGUUUAGAACAAGGCGUCCCUUCCCGGUUCAGUGGCAGUGGAUUUGGAACAGAUUUCACUCUCACCAUCAGCAGCCUGGAGCUGGAUGAUCUUGCCACUUAUUACUGUCAACAGGGUAGUAGUACACCUCCCACAGUGAUACAGGCCAGAACAUAA